GGCGCCGGGCGGCGUGUCCACAACUUGCAAGUUCGAAGCGAACAGACGAAGGAAGCUUGCUCCUCCUGACGUUAGCGGCGGACGGGUGAGUAACACGUGGAUAACCUACCUAUAAGACUGGGAUAACUUCGGGAAACCGGAGCUAAUACCGGAUAAUAUAUUGAACCACAUGGUUCAAUAGUGAAAGACGGUUUUGCUGUCACUUAUAGAUGGAUCCGCGCCGCAUUAGCUAGUUGGUAAGGUAACGGCUUACCAAGGCAACGAUGCGUAGCCGACCUGAGAGGGUGAUCGGCCACACUGGAACUGAGACACGGUCCAGACUCCUACGGGAGGCAGCAGUAGGGAAUCUUCCGCAAUGGGCGAAAGCCUGACGGAGCAACGCCGCGUGAGUGAUGAAGGUCUUCGGAUCGUAAAACUCUGUUAUUAGGGAAGAACAAAUGUGUAAGUAACUAUGCACGUCUUGACGGUACCUAAUCAGAAAGCCACGGCUAACUACGUGCCAGCAGCCGCGGUAAUACGUAGGUGGCAAGCGUUAUCCGGAAUUAUUGGGCGUAAAGCGCGCGUAGGCGGUUUUUUAAGUCUGAUGUGAAAGCCCACGGCUCAACCGUGGAGGGUCAUUGGAAACUGGAAAACUUGAGUGCAGAAGAGGAAAGUGGAAUUCCAUGUGUAGCGGUGAAAUGCGCAGAGAUAUGGAGGAACACCAGUGGCGAAGGCGACUUUCUGGUCUGUAACUGACGCUGAUGUGCGAAAGCGUGGGGAUCAAACAGGAUUAGAUACCCUGGUAGUCCACGCCGUAAACGAUGAGUGCUAAGUGUUAGGGGGUUUCCGCCCCUUAGUGCUGCAGCUAACGCAUUAAGCACUCCGCCUGGGGAGUACGACCGCAAGGUUGAAACUCAAAGGAAUUGACGGGGACCCGCACAAGCGGUGGAGCAUGUGGUUUAAUUCGAAGCAACGCGAAGAACCUUACCAAAUCUUGACAUCCUCUGACCCCUCUAGAGAUAGAGUUUUCCCCUUCGGGGGACAGAGUGACAGGUGGUGCAUGGUUGUCGUCAGCUCGUGUCGUGAGAUGUUGGGUUAAGUCCCGCAACGAGCGCAACCCUUAAGCUUAGUUGCCAUCAUUAAGUUGGGCACUCUAAGUUGACUGCCGGUGACAAACCGGAGGAAGGUGGGGAUGACGUCAAAUCAUCAUGCCCCUUAUGAUUUGGGCUACACACGUGCUACAAUGGACAAUACAAAGGGCAGCGAAACCGCGAGGUCAAGCAAAUCCCAUAAAGUUGUUCUCAGUUCGGAUUGUAGUCUGCAACUCGACUAUAUGAAGCUGGAAUCGCUAGUAAUCGUAGAUCAGCAUGCUACGGUGAAUACGUUCCCGGGUCUUGUACACACCGCCCGUCACACCACGAGAGUUUGUAACACCCGAAGCCGGUGGAGUAACCAUUUGGAGCUAGCCGUCGAAGGUGGGACAAAUGAUUGGGGGUGAAGUCGUAACAAGG
Molecule: ribosomal RNA, 1490 nt
Filed under: Staphylococcus epidermidis
Lineage: Bacteria; Bacillati; Bacillota; Bacilli; Caryophanales; Staphylococcaceae
Description: bacterial SSU rRNA
Rfam family: Bacterial small subunit ribosomal RNA
Source: RNAcentral